Molecule: non-coding RNA, 97 nt
Organism: Hypoxylon fuscum
Lineage: Eukaryota; Fungi; Ascomycota; Sordariomycetes; Xylariales; Hypoxylaceae
Source: the annotation of a GenBank genome assembly
GACACUUUGGUGGAGUGGUUAACACGCAAGCCUGCUACUGUACAAACAAAGCCAGCUUGUUCCUUCGGGAGCGCAGGUUCGAAUCCUGCAGGUGUCG